Molecule: small RNA, 443 nt
Filed under: Pan troglodytes (chimpanzee)
Lineage: Eukaryota; Metazoa; Chordata; Mammalia; Primates; Hominidae
Description: sense intronic
Source: RNAcentral
ACAACAAGGAUAUUAUUUUAAAGUUGGUUGGUUAAUGUGGGCUGUGUUAGAACUUCCAAUGUGUUGUGUUUGGGUUGAUGCAAUGUUAUUUUAAUGAGUUUAUUGGUUCGAUGCACAAAACACCACAUGGUGCUUGAAGGUUUUAGGUUAUAAAUUUUCUCGUGAGGCACUUACUUGAAGGAACUCUGUUACAUAAUCAAUUGGUCUUUAAAUCUAUCCGCACAAAAUAUAACCUUUCAGUUUUUUACAUAUGUGGUUGUUAUUAUGUGAUUAUGAAAACCAAAUAAAAAUUUCCAUAGAUGUUAUAUUCCUUAAUGAACUAUUUUGUAUAUAUAUUGAAGUUUUCACAAUAAACAUUUAUUUCACAGUAUUUGUUGAGUGAAUCUACAAAGUGAAUUUGGAGUCUUCUAGUAAAGACUGAGAAUAAAGGAUCUUCCUCUUUA